This 253-nucleotide ribosomal RNA is filed under the name uncultured bacterium. Its description in RNAcentral is "partial 16S ribosomal RNA". It matches the Rfam family "Bacterial small subunit ribosomal RNA", at positions 527 to 779 of the family's 1533-position model. The record is from RNAcentral.
CGGAGGGGCUAGCGUUGUUCGGAAUUACUGGGCGUAAAGCGCACGUAGGCGGAUUAGUAAGUUGGGGUGAAAUCCCGGGGCGUCAACCUCGGAACUGCCUUCAAAACUACUAGUCUUGAGUUCGAGAGAGGUGAGUGGAAUUCCGAGUGUAGAGGUGAAAUUCGUAGAUAUUCGGAGGAACACCAGUGGCGAAGGCGGCUCACUGGCUCGAUACUGACGCUGAGGUGCGAAAGCGUGGGGAGCAAACAGGAUU